AGUGAACGCUGGCGGUAGGCCUAACACAUGCAAGUCGAACGGCAGCACAGUAAGAGCUGCCUUUUACGGGGGGGGAGUGGCGGACGGGUGAGGAAUAAAUCGGAACCUACUUUUUGGUGGGGGAUAAGGAAGGGAAAUUAACGCUAAUACCGCAUACGCCCUACGGGUGAAAGCAGGGGAUCUUCGGCCCUUGCGCGAUUGAAUGAGCCGAUGUCGGAUUAGCUAGUUGGCGGGGUAAAGGCCCACCAAGGCGACGAUCCGUAGCUGGUCUGAGAGGAUGAUCAGCCACACUGGAACUGAGACACGGUCCAGACUCCUACGGGAGGCAGCAGUGGGGAAUAUUGGACAAUGGGCGCAAGCCUGAUCCAGCCAUACCGCGUGGGUGAAGAAGGCCUUCGGGUUGUAAAGCCCUUUUGUUGGGAAAGAAAAGCAGCAGGUUAAUACCCCGCUGUUCUGACGGUACCCAAAGAAUAAGCACCGGCUAACUUCGUG
RNAcentral lists this ribosomal RNA (492 nucleotides) under uncultured bacterium. RNAcentral describes it as "partial 16S ribosomal RNA". It matches the Rfam family "Bacterial small subunit ribosomal RNA", at positions 29 to 507 of the family's 1533-position model. The record is from RNAcentral.